CGAGGGUGUGUCCCAAUUCAGGGGCUGGAUCCUUCCAAGUCCGUACUUGUGGGCCGAUUACGUCACAGCGCGGCACGGAAGGUCUUUCAAAUGCGGCAGACAAAUGUGUCCUUCUUUUGCCCGAUUUGGUUGUUGGAAAAAGGAGCUGACGGGCCAGUUUGUUAAGCUCAGGGGUGAGAAUGACCACCUUUUUACUGGAGCUAAAAACUCAGCCACCGUGGCUUGGAGUUCUGGAGAAGACGGGCCAACAGGGGAAGGUCACCCCCUUGCAGGACAAAAAAAAGUG
Girardinichthys multiradiatus is the source of this 286-nucleotide long non-coding RNA. RefSeq lists it as uncharacterized. Lineage: Eukaryota; Metazoa; Chordata; Actinopteri; Cyprinodontiformes; Goodeidae. The transcript is spliced from 3 exons. The record is from RefSeq and is a predicted model, not a curated record.